AUGUGGCCUGUGUGUAAAAUGCCCGUGCGUGUAUGGGGACGCUACCUGGGAGACAGAGCGUGCAGACUCCUCACGCGCACAAAGUGGUGCCCGCUGUGGAGGCUUGGAAAAGCUUACCUCCGCCAUUGGCUGGAAAUCAUCCCUCACCUCCGCCUCUUCCUCCUUUUGUUGGGAAACUGCAUUCUCUCCGUCCCUGGAGAGAACAGGCCCACUCCUGUCGGGCCCUUUCGGCACUCAUGGCCAUUCUGGCAGCGUGAUACUCCCAACCCUGAACGCCUUGGCGAAGGCUCCUCCCGGUGCAGGUCUGGCAGGAACCUGUCUGCAUGCAGGAGCCCAGACCCCUGGGCAGCUUUUGUCACUCGGCACACAGAGCUGUGGGUCCAGCCGUGUCCCCGCUUUGGCCCCGUCAUUCAGGAACCACGUUCCCCUGGUGAGGCAAGGAGAGGAGAGGACGGAGACAUGGAUCAGAUGGGGCCCGUGCCCUGCAGAGGGGCCUCAAUGCACACACACUCAUGUUGGUGCAUGGCACACACCUCUCCCUCUCACACGCAUGUUGGUGCAUGGCACGCACCUCUGCCUCUCACACGCAUGUUGGUGCAUGGCACGCACCUCUCCCUCUCACACGUAUGUUGGUACAUGGCACACACCUCUCCCUCUCACACAUAUGUUGGUGCAUGGCACGCACCUCUGCCUCUCACACGCAUGUUGGUGCAUGGCACGCACCUCUGCCUCUCACACAUAUGUUGGUACAUGGCACGCACCUCUCCCUCUCACACGCAUGUUGGUGCAUGGCACGCACCUCUCCCUCUCACACGCAUGUUGGUGCAUGGCACACACCUCUCCCUCUCAUACGCAUGUUGGUGCAUGGCACACACCUCUGCCUCUCACACGCAUGUUGGUGCAUGGCACACACCUCUCCCUCUCACACGCAUGUUGGUGCAUGGCACGCACCUCUCCCUCUCACACUCACGUGGUGCAUGUCGCUUGCCUCUCUCAGAUUGA
Molecule: long non-coding RNA, 1002 nt
Filed under: Oryctolagus cuniculus (rabbit)
Lineage: Eukaryota; Metazoa; Chordata; Mammalia; Lagomorpha; Leporidae
Description: lncRNA (ENSOCUG00000033762.1)
Source: RNAcentral